UCUCCGUUGGUGAACCAGCGGAGGGAUCAUUACCGAGUGCAAACUCAUAACCCUUUGUGAACCUAUAUCUGCUGCUUCGGCGGCUCGCUCUCGGGCGAGCCCGCCGGUAAUAUCGGUAUCUCUGUUUGAACCCGACGAUACUUCUGAGUGUUCUUAGCGAACAGUUAAAACUUUUAACAACGGAUCUCUUGGCUCUA
RNAcentral lists this unclassified non-coding RNA (197 nucleotides) under plant metagenome. RNAcentral's name for it is "partial contains small subunit ribosomal RNA, internal transcribed spacer 1, and 5.8S ribosomal RNA". The record is from RNAcentral.